ACUGGAAUGAACGGCUAAAUGAGGACUAAACUGUCUCUUGCGAGCUAGUCAAUGAAAUUGAUUUUCCAGUACAAAAGCUGGAAUAGACCCAUAAGACGAAAAGACCCUGUGGAGCUUAAAAACCAGAUUCAUUAAGAAUGUUUCCUCGGAUUUUCAGUUGGGGCGACUUCGGAGUACAGAAAAACCUCCGAAAAAUAUAAACUUGUAUUAAGAUCAACACACCAAAAAUAACACAUAGACCCAGCAAUUUUUAUAAAUAUGUCUGACCAAUGAACCAAGUUACCCCAGGGAUAACAGCGCCAUCCCCUUUUAGAGUCCCUAUCGACAAGGGGGUUUACGACCUCGAUGUUGGAUCAGGACACCCCAAUGGUGCAGCCGCCAUUAAAG
Molecule: ribosomal RNA, 387 nt
Filed under: Iranolacerta brandtii
Lineage: Eukaryota; Metazoa; Chordata; Lepidosauria; Squamata; Lacertidae
Description: partial 16S ribosomal RNA
Rfam family: Bacterial large subunit ribosomal RNA
Source: RNAcentral